This 835-nucleotide ribosomal RNA is filed under the name Perforatella incarnata. RNAcentral describes it as "Monachoides incarnatus partial large subunit ribosomal RNA". Lineage: Eukaryota; Metazoa; Mollusca; Gastropoda; Stylommatophora; Hygromiidae. The record is from RNAcentral.
AAUUAUUAUUAGAUUUUUAAAUAAUUAUUCACGAAAUAAAUUGAGCUAAAUUUUUGGUAUUUUUGGAAAUUAUAACUAUAUGUUACAAAAUAUAUUAACUAAAUAGAUUUAGGGGUGAAAGGCCUAUCAAAUUUUAUGAUAUCUUGAAGUAUAUAAAAUAUAUCAAGUAUUUCUAAUUCAACUAUUGAAUGUUUAGGUUCAAUAGUAACAUUAUAUUUUUUAAAAAAUUGUUCAAUUUUUUUAAGUAAAAUUGAGUUAGAGCAUAAAAUAUACAUCAAAUUUUUAUUAUAUGAAUAUAAAUAUACUACGGUUAUUAAUAAAUAUAAUCAUAUAUAAUGUAAUUAUUAGUAAUAGUUUAUUAAACUAUAUAAAGGAAUUCGGCAAAAAAAUUUUUCACCUGUUUAUCAAAAACAUAGCUUAUUGAAUAUCAUAAUAAGUAACCCCUGCUCAAUGGAAAUCUAAAUAGCCGCAGUACCUUGACUGUGCAAAGGUAGCAUAAUCAAUUGGCUUAUAAUUGAAGUCUGGAAUGAAUGGGUAAUCUGGAAAAUAACUGUCUUUAUUUGUAGUAUUUUGAAUUUACUUAUAAAGUGAAAAUACUUUAAUAUAAAUAUAAGACGAGAAGACCCUAGAAAUUUUUUGUUAAUAACUUUUGUUGGGGCGACAGGGUAACAUAUAAACUUACUUACAUUUUAUAUAAAUCUUAUAAGGUACGUAACUAAAUUACUCUAGGGAUAACAGCAUAAUAUAUAAAAGUUUAUGACCUCGAUGUUGGACUAGGUAAUUAAAUAUUUAAAAGAUAUCUUAAUUUGCUCUGUUCGAGCAGUACCACCUACAU